Long non-coding RNA from Gorilla gorilla gorilla (western lowland gorilla), 1579 nucleotides. RefSeq lists it as uncharacterized. The record is from RefSeq and is a predicted model, not a curated record. The transcript is spliced from 2 exons. Lineage: Eukaryota; Metazoa; Chordata; Mammalia; Primates; Hominidae.
GGGAUAAGUUGUGAGUAUACAGUAAGCCAGGGGCAACUAUUUCAUGAGGCACAUAGCAAAAAAUGUGCCUAGAUGUGCAUUUGUUCCAGUUUGGAAUGAUUUCUGUGUAAUAAGCGUCAACACAAGGAGUGGCAAAAGCCACAAAAGGAAGCUUGAUUCCAGGAUGCUGUUUACUUAGGACUGAAGGACAAGCUGCUGAAAAAGCAUCUAUGAGGGGCACUCACUAGGGCAUCUGUAGCAUCACUCAGGCUGGCAGGAGCAGACCCAUGUGCAACCAUGCUGGACAAUAACCCUGACAUUUCUUGGCUAUCGCCUCCAAGGUACACUUCGUUCAGAGCUAAAACUACUGGCAAACACUAAGAAUGAAUGUGAAUUCUUUGUUCAUCUUUGCUAGACAGAUACAAGAGUGCUGACUGAAAAGAAACCAACGGAGUGUCAGUAAGACUCUCUUCUACAGACAUCUGAUCUAGCACCUGAGAUUACACUGGACAAUGGCAGUAAGUCUGUUGACUGAACAAAAAAAUAGUCUCCAUGGAAAGGAUAAAUGGAAAGACCUUUUGUGCACCAGAUCCUCAUGGCUGCCUCAAAGCCAGUUUUUCCGAGUAAGGUACCAUUAAGAGAGGAAAAAAGCUAGCAACAAAUAACGGAAAAAUGUCGGAUGUUCAACAUGUAUAAGGAAUUAUCAUAAAGCAAUUUGGAGAAGAUAGAAAACUCAGAGGAAAAAUGAGCCAAAGAACUGGAUAGGUAAUUUAUAAAAAAGAAAAUUCGUAAUCCACUAAGCAUAUACAAAGGCAUUAAACGUCAUCAAUAAUCGGGGAAAUGCAAAUUAACACCACAAUGAUAUAUCAUUGCAUAACCAUCAGAAUAACUAAAAUUUGAAAGAUUGACAAUACUAAAUCCUGGUGAAGUGUUAGAAAAACUGGAAUUCUGAAACACUGUUGAUGUAAAACUAAAUUGAUGCAACCACUUUGGGAAAAUAUUUGGUGGUAGCUACUAAGAUUAAUAUUUGUAUACUCUCAGCCCCACUAUUCUGUUUGUUAUACUAACGUAACGAACAGAAUGAAAUUUCCAUAUUCAGUAGGAAAUGUGUACUAGAAUGUUUGUAGCAGCUUUACUAAAAAUGCUCAAAAACUAAAAAUUAUCAUAAUCUAUCAAUAAGAAAAUUGAUAGUAUGUUAACACAAUAGGAUGCUACAUAACUCUACACUAUAGCUACACAGAAACUAUGCUGCCACCUAAAAACGUCAUGUUGAAUGAAAAAAGAGAUUUUCAAAAAUACACUUUGUGCAACAUCACUCCUAUGAAGUUUAAAACAUGCAAAACCAACAAUUUUCUUUAGGAACACAUACUUAGGUGGACAUGAAAAGCAAAUAAGUGAAUAUCAUAAAAUUUUUACCUUUACGAAGAAGGAGUGUUCUGAGGGGUUUGUGACUGGUGGCAACAUCCUAUUCCUUGAUCUAGUUCAUGGAUACUUUAAUUUACUUUUUAAUUAUCUGUUAAACUAUACUUGUGUUUGGAAAGUUUUUCAUAUUCAUAGUUUAUACAAUAAAAGUGGGUUCAUAUAUAACAAUUUUAAUAAA